RNAcentral lists this ribosomal RNA (468 nucleotides) under uncultured bacterium. RNAcentral describes it as "partial 16S ribosomal RNA". It matches the Rfam family "Bacterial small subunit ribosomal RNA", at positions 28 to 507 of the family's 1533-position model. The record is from RNAcentral.
GACGAACGCUGGCGGCGUGCUUAACACAUGCAAGUCGAACGGAAAGGCCCUGCUUGCAGGGUGCUCGAGUGGCGAACGGGUGAGUAACACGUGGGUGAUCUGCCCCUUACUUUGGGAUAAGCCUGGGAAACUGGGUCUAAUACUGGAUAGGACCAUGCUGUAGGUGGUGUGGUGGAAAGAUUAGUUUCGGUAAGGGAUGAGCUCGCGGCCUAUCAGCUUGUUGGUGGGGUAAUGGCCUACCAAGGCGUCGACGGGUAACCGGCCUGAGAGGGUGGACGGCCACAUUGGGACUGAGAUACGGCCCAGACUCCUACGGGAGGCAGCAGUGGGGAAUAUUGCACAAUGGGCGCAAGCCUGAUGCAGCGACGCCGCGUGGGGGAUGACGGCCUUCGGGUUGUAAACUCCUUUCAGCCAUGACGAAGCCUUCGGGUGACGGUAGUGGUAGAAGAAGCACCGGCUAACUACGUG